CCUACGGGAGGCAGCAGUGGGGAAUAUUGCGCAAUGGGGGCAACCCUGACGCAGCAACGCCGCGUGCAGGAAGAAGGUCUUCGGAUUGUAAACUGUUGUCGCCGGGGAAGAAGACAGUGACGGUACCCUGUGAGAAAGUCACGGUUAACUACGUGCCAGCAGCCGCGGUAAUACGUAGGUGACAAGCGUUGUCCGGAUUUAUUGGGUUUAAAGGGUGCGUAGGCGGACUGUUAAGUCAGCGGUAAAAGCCCGGGGCUCAACCCCGGCGAGCCGUUGAAACUGGCUGUCUUGAGAUGUCGAGAGGG
RNAcentral lists this ribosomal RNA (305 nucleotides) under uncultured bacterium. RNAcentral describes it as "bacterial SSU rRNA". It matches the Rfam family "Bacterial small subunit ribosomal RNA", at positions 338 to 658 of the family's 1533-position model. The record is from RNAcentral.